Molecule: ribosomal RNA, 1435 nt
Filed under: uncultured organism
Description: 16S ribosomal RNA
Rfam family: Bacterial small subunit ribosomal RNA
Source: RNAcentral
GCGACAGGCUUAACACAUGCAAGUCGAGGGGCAGCACAGGUAGCAAUACCGGGUGGCGACCGGCGCACGGGUGAGUAACGCGUAUGCAACUUGCCUAUCAGAGGGGGAUAACCCGGCGAAAGUCGGACUAAUACCGCAUGAAGCAGGGGCCCCGCAUGGGGAUAUUUGCUAAAGAUUCAUCGCUGAUAGAUAGGCAUGCGUUCCAUUAGGCAGUUGGCGGGGUAACGGCCCACCAAACCGACGAUGGAUAGGGGUUCUGAGAGGAAGGUCCCCCACAUUGGUACUGAGACACGGACCAAACUCCUACGGGAGGCAGCAGUGAGGAAUAUUGGUCAAUGGCCGAGAGGCUGAACCAGCCAAGUCGCGUGAGGGAUGAAGGUUCUAUGGAUCGUAAACCUCUUUUAUAAGGGAAUAAAGUGCGGGACGUGUCCCGUUUUGUAUGUACCUUAUGAAUAAGGAUCGGCUAACCCCGUGCCAGCAGCCGCGGUAAUACGGAGGAUCCGAGCGUUAUCCGGAUUUAUUGGGUUUAAAGGGUGCGUAGGCGGCCUUUUAAGUCAGCGGUGAAAGUCUGUGGCUCAACCAUAGAAUUGCCGUUGAAACUGGGGGGCUUGAGUAUGUUUGAGGCAGGCGGAAUGCGUGGUGUAGCGGUGAAAUGCAUAGAUAUCACGCAGAACCCCGAUUGCGAAGGCAGCCUGCCAAGCCAUUACUGACGCUGAUGCACGAAAGCGUGGGGAUCAAACAGGAUUAGAUACCCUGGUAGUCCACGCAGUAAACGAUGAUCACUAGCUGUUUGCGAUACACUGUAAGCGGCACAGCGAAAGCGUUAAGUGAUCCACCUGGGGAGUACGCCGGCAACGGUGAAACUCAAAGGAAUUGACGGGGGCCCGCACAAGCGGAGGAACAUGUGGUUUAAUUCGAUGAUACGCGAGGAACCUUACCCGGGUUUGAACGCAUUCGGACCGAGGUGGAAACACCUUUUCUAGCAAUAGCCGUUUGCGAGGUGCUGCAUGGUUGUCGUCAGCUCGUGCCGUGAGGUGUCGGCUUAAGUGCCAUAACGAGCGCAACCCUUGCCACUAGUUACUAACAGGUAAAGCUGAGGACUCUGGUGGGACUGCCAGCGUAAGCUGCGAGGAAGGCGGGGAUGACGUCAAAUCAGCACGGCCCUUACAUCCGGGGCGACACACGUGUUACAAUGGCGUGGACAAAGGGAAGCCACCUGGCGACAGGGAGCGAAUCCCCAAACCACGUCUCAGUUCGGAUCGGAGUCUGCAACCCGACUCCGUGAAGCUGGAUUCGCUAGUAAUCGCGCAUCAGCCAUGGCGCGGUGAAUACGUUCCCGGGCCUUGUACACACCGCCCGUCAAGCCAUGGGAGCCGGGGGUACCUGAAGUCCGUAACCGCGAGGAUCGGCCUAGGGUAAAACUGGUGACUGGGGC